GAUGAACGCUGGCGGCGUGCCUAACACAUGCAAGUCGAGCGACCAGACGAGGAUCGGGCUGGUGGCACGUGACGGGCGGACGAGUAAGGAACAGGAAGGUAACCAACAGAGAAGGCUGGGAAAGCGACGGGAAAGCGGAGCUAAUAUAGGACAAAAGGGGGAAAGGAAGGGAUCAUAAGAGAAAGAAGGUUUGGAGGGGACGUAAAGAGGGAUCCGAGCCGCAUUAGCUAGUUGGUAAGGUAACGGCGCACCAAGGCAACGAUGCGUAGCCGACCUGAGAGGACGAUCCGCCACACUGGGACUGAGACACGGCCCAGACUCCUACGGGAGGCAGCAGUGGGGAAUCUUGGGCAAUGGGCGCAAGCCUGACCCAGCCAUCCCGCGUGUGUGAUGAAGGUCUUCGGGUUGUAAAACUCUUUUAGCAGGGAAGAAACGUCGCGUGCGAAUACCCCGUGGAACUGACGGUACCUGCAGAAUAAGCACCGGCUAACUACGUG
This 497-nucleotide ribosomal RNA is filed under the name uncultured bacterium. RNAcentral describes it as "partial 16S ribosomal RNA". It matches the Rfam family "Bacterial small subunit ribosomal RNA", at positions 28 to 507 of the family's 1533-position model. The record is from RNAcentral.